CUGUCAUCCAUGGGAGGCAGCAGAUUGGAGCGGAGAGCCAGGCACUUGGUGAGAAAUCCAGUUGUUGGAAACAGAAAUAAAGGGAUUAGACUCAGUUAGAAUAGGCUCCAGUUUGUGACCCUGGUAAGUGGGAGUCUUUGCUCUGAAGUGCUGCAUGGCUACCAUCAAGCUGUAUUUUAAGGAAUGAACUGAGGUUCUGCCAGUUCCUGUGGAUAUCCCUCAUCUUAGAAAGCACAGUCAUGAGAAAGGGUGUGUGGGUAGGUGAGGGCUAAGUACUAGGAAGUUAAGGGUCAGAGUAGAUCUGUAAGAUGCUGGCUGCAUUAUUAAAAGUUGUGUAAAGAACACCAGGCUUUGGGGCUCCCUGAAGACAGGUCUUUUGUCUGCCUCAGUCUCUGUUGCAUUCCUACCACCCAGCACACUACUAGCACACAGCAGUGCUCAAUAAAUAUUUGUUGAAUAAAUGAGUACAGACCUGCCACUUGGUUCUGCCACUUACUAGCUCUGUGGCACUUACAAGUCGGUAAAUCUCUCUGAGACUCAUUUAAAUUUUUGCCAUUAAAAAAUGGAUAUUGUAUACACAAAGUGCAUAAUAGGUGCUUAGUAAAUAAUUGUUGCUGUUGUUGAUGAUCGUGCCCUGUUUCCCUUCCAGACUAGAAGUUACUUGAGGAGAAGACCUUCUCCUAUAGAUUUUUGCAGACUGUGGAUUUGGCACCCCAGUUUUUACUUCAUAAAUGCUGAGGAAAUAUUUCCUUGCUGAAUAAUUUGAAAAUACGGAAGAGAUUGAUCAAUACACUCAUCUUUCUGCAAUCAUCUGAGAGGCCAAAAUGGCCUUGGGGAUGAUGUAUGACACACACAAUGUGAGUCCCUAAAAGCUUCUGGUCUCUGAAGGUUAUUACAGAGACAACCAUGGGAAGUAAUAAAGCUGUGUCGUUUAUUUAAAGUGGGGGCCUUCAUCUUGUCUCUCCUCACACUUCCUCUCUCUACUCCUAAAGUGCUGACUGGACAAUAUGAAAGAGAAAAAAGAUGCCUAUUUCAAACCUUCAGGAAGCCCAUUUGGCCAAUUCAUUCUAGAAAGAUAAAAUCUAUCAAGUAUUUCACAAGUAAAAGUUGAUGUUAGGUUAACUUUCAAACUGAUGCCAGACUCAAGCCUUAGGAUGUGUCAUUUUUAUCCAAUUAACAAUGCAGGAAUGACAAAAAGACUCCCCUCCCUGCCCACUGGGAUUAACAGAAUUCCAAGCAGAGCUGUGUUAUUUGGACCCGAGAGGGCUGGCUGUGUGCGUGAAGUUCAAUAGAGCUGUUCAUAUCUCUGAUGUGCUGUGAAAUGUAAUCACUAAAGCUGGUUUGGAAAAUCAAAAUGGGCAAAAUGUGCUGUGAAAUAGAAUUUCCAAGACUUAUUGAGGAAAUAAACAAGGAAAAUAAAUCUGUGAAACAUAUGCAUCAGACACUCUUUGAGGUCAAGGCUAUAAAGGGUACCCACAGGCUCUAUAAAAUUCUUCUCAGUGUCUUCUUCCCCUUGUCCUAAGUUAGCCGGUGAGGAGACAAAGAGCAGGCUCGUGUCGACAUCUGGCUGGUGUCUAGGCAUGAGCCAUAAUGCCCUCCUCCCACACACAGGUGUUGCCGUGUGACGUCUGGCUGCCACAUGAUACAACCCAAAGAAGGGCAUGCUGGGAAAGGAGUGGGUAUGCCCUCUGUUCUGAUCCAUCACACCCAUAGGCACCAUCCCCAGAGCGAUACACAAAAUGGAAGAAUCCUCAUCUCCAGCCAGUUCUAUGUUGUAGGGAACACAUGGACCAUGAAUAUCAUCCUUGACUUUUUGUCCCCUGGAUGCAGGGGCACAGCAGGAGGAGGAGGAGGGUGUCUUCAGUACAUAGCCCUCUGGAGCCUGCUGAUCAGCAAUAGAGAAGUUAUCUUCUGUGACUUAACCAUCUAACCCCAACAUAAAUGGAAUGAGAGGAGCCCUGUACAGGAGUGACCCACCUUAUGAGGUGCCUUGUAAGCAUGUUGAGGUGCCACAUAGCAGUUUGGACCUUGCUCACUCCUCCAGCUACCUCACUCACCGCCCUGCACAGCAUCUGUCCUCCAGCCUCAUGGCUUUUCUCUUCCCAUUAAGUUUUAGGCACGCUGUUCCCUGAGCCUGGAAUGCAUGAGCCUGUUGCUAUGGAGCUAAGAGUCUGCUCUGAUGUCUCUCCUCCUCCAGGAAGUCUCUACAUGCCCCAUGCCCUUCUUCACGCAUUCCUUGCCCAGCAGAAGGUGCUCUUCCUUCUCUGUUCCCAGAGCUCGUGCAACUGCUAUGACGGUAUAGUGCUCAUCACAUUAACACCAUACCACCUCCACCCACCCCACCACAGUGUAAGCCACUGAAGUCCCCAUCAGUUAUCUUUGCAUCCCAGUGCCAAUCUCAGUGUUUGGGAUGCAGUGAGAAUUAAAUAAAUCUGCACUGAUUGCAUGAAAGAACUAACGAGGAAGCAUGAGAAACAGUCAUGUUUAUCAGGACGCACUCAGGUCUGAAAUGCAACUGAAGGAAGUUCUAGUCUGACCUCGUGCUUCCCAAAAUGUGGUUGGUGGAACAUAAGCCCCUGGAGUGUGCUCUAUUCCCCUCCCCUGAAAAGAAUCAAAUAAGUUUGGGAAAUGCUAUAUGUUCCUCCUAAAGCAUUGUGUGCACAUGAGCUUUAUAAAGGCCCUGGGAAGACCUACAAUUAAGAAAACUAUUAAAAGUUGGUUUCAUCUGGUGUCGAGCAAACUAAUUCUUUAUAGCCAGGUCUGGCAAUUUUGUACUGUUUUAUGAGCUAACCCUGAUCUGUUGCUGGUGGACUGGAGGGAAAUUUGGAACAGAGGGGCUUCCAUUACAGCAGUGGUUCUCAAAGUGUGGUCCCCAAACCAGGAGCAGCAGCAGCAUGUGGGAACUUGCUAGAAAUGCAAAGUCCAGGCCCCACCCUAGACCUACUUAUGCAGAGAUGGAGUCAGGGGUCCAGCAAUCUGUGUUCUAACAAACCUUCCGGGUGAUUCUGCUGCAUACCAUAGAGGGUGAGGACCACUGCCCUGGAGAAACACUCCUGGUUCUUGGAGGUCCUCCUUACUCAUUCAGAGGAGAGGUUGAUCUGAGGGGUGAGUCAGGAGAAGGAACUGCAUGUGUACGGCUCAGCCCCUUCUUGGUUUCCAUCAUCAAGUCUGCUGUCUGCAUUGACGGUGCAUUCUGGUCUGCUCUGUUGGCAGGCUGUGAGCUCGGUGGGCCCGAAUCUUCUGUGGGGAAAGCCUGUGGUUUUCCAACACUGCCUGUGACUGACCAGAUGGGUAAUUGCCUAAUCCAGAGAUGAAGUGUGAGCAAAGUUUGUGCCCACAAAUCCAAAGGCUUUCCUUCCAACAAGCUUAUCUUUAUUAGAAGAUAGCAUUUUGAUCACUGUGCCUAUCUCCUGGGUCUUAUUUCUUAGUUGGUUCUGAACCUGGGUGGGGAAGAAGGGCUUUUUUACAGGGCUGCCAUGUUGCACAGCACAGAAAUCAAUGUGGAUAUUGCUCCUGGAGUGGUACAAUGCAGCAGUCCCCAUUAUUUAUUAGCCCCAGAAAACCCCAAUUUUGUUGGCUGUUUAGAGAGCUGUAUUGAGAAGGAUUCUGAGACCAGGUCUGGGCUCAGUGGGAAAGAGUCCUGAGAUCGGUUAAGGAAGUUUACACAGGAGUGGGGCAGGGGUAGGUGGAGGCACGUGGGUCAAGUAUCUGCCAUUCCAGGGUAGACAGUUCCACAGCUAAGAGUUUGGAAACUGCACUUUGCCACGCUUUCCCCUCUUUACCAAGCAACCAUCUAAUACACAACUUGUUCUCCUGAGUAGACUAACCUACCAGGAAGGAGUAGCCUGAGCCAAGGACCAGGUACAGGUAACUCCCUAGACCAUUCUCCCAUAGAAGUCAAUAAAUGGGCCUUUAGGUUUAUCUCUGUUUCUCAUGUGUAUAGUUAGUAACGGGUCCAUCUGCCAGAGCCUGACCACCUCCAGCACACUGAGAAAGCAGAGUUUAUUGGCUGGGAAGCUGAACCAAGGUUCUGGCGACUGUGAGCCUUGCAUAGGGCUUCCAGAGGCCUCCAUGGUUGUCUUUCAUCACAAUGGGUGGCCCAAUGGACCUUUUCUCAACUGCUGCUUUCCAUUUCAAAAGGCAAAGCACUGGGCAAAGGGGAAGGAAGAGGAGGAAUUAUCUAGGAAAUCUGACCCUUGUGGUCAUUUCUCAGACAAAAACCUUCCAUCCAUCCCUUUCUUCAAGAGCAGGAAUUUGGUACCCAUAUUAUCUAGAUCAUUAUAUUACUUCUCUUGGCAUUUGAAAAGAAAAUUGUUUUGUGUGUCUGUGAGAAAGAGAUUGAAUGCAUUUCUCUUCCUUUGAUGCCUGCCUCCUCUCUGAAUCUCUGUGACUAUAACCAAUGAUGCUCCUGCAUGUAGUUUUGUAAUAUGAAGCCCGAAGAGCUUUUUCUUGGUGAAAUUGCUUUUCUAAAAUUACUUAAGAGCUUCCAAUCCCGAAAAGUAGCCUUUAUUAAAUUAAUUUUUGAACAAAAACAGCCCAAACUAGUUAAGGUGGAAGAAAGCUGAGAGGUGUGAGCAUUAUCAGAGUUUUCACAUCUAAUCGCCUACAUGUCCCUACAGCUAGAGUUAAUCAAGAGACCACUGCUGCAUAAAAGAGUGAACAUUUAGGAGGAAAUUAGGAAAACACAUGAAACUGACAAAAGAAUAUCCGAACAUUUCAAAGUUUUCUCAGAACCGAUAGUAAAAAUAUAGACUUUCCCCACCUUUUUCUACCUCUCCCUGGGAGACCUAAGUGCUGGUCAUGUGUUAGAAAAGGUGCUCCAAGUGACACCUUACAGAUUUCUAGCGACUUCUGAUGUAGCAUCAUGUUUAACAGCAGCGGCUAUGGAGCCAGACUGCCUCCCUUUGCAUCUAGGCAGUGCUGUUUACUCGCUGUAUGAUGUCGGGCAAGUCACUUCACCUCUUGAAGCCUCCGCGAGCUCAUACAUAAAAUGCAGGUGGUAACAGUGCCCAGAUCGCAGCCCUGUAGAGAGGAAUGAGAUGAUUCACAUCAAGAGCUUAGCAAGGUCAUGGGCACGUGGUGAGUGCUCAGUCAAUACUGACUACUAUCGCCAUUAUUUGGUGAAAGCAACCGGUCCCUCUGUUUGGGACUGGAAUCAUUCUAAUUGGUUGGUAAUUGGUUGGCUGUUUUUUUUUUCUUGAGGUAUAACUGUCAAAUAAAAUUGUUUAUAUUUAAAGUGUACAAUGUGAUGAUUUGAUAUAUGUAUACAUUGUGAAAUGAUUAACACAAGUUAAUUAACACAAGCAUCACCUCACAUAGUUAACUUAGUUAUCUGUUUUUUUGAUAAGAAUGCUUAAGAUCUAUUCUCUCGGCAAUUUUCAAGUACAAAAUACAGUCUCGUUAACUAUAGUCACUGUGCUGAACAUUAGAUCCUUAGAACUUCUUCAUCUUAUAAUUAAAAACUUUUACCAUUGACCGAUAUCUCCCCAUUUCUCCUAUCCCCCCUGGCAACCACCAUUCUACUCACUGUUUCUAUACGUUCUGGGUUUUUUUUUGUAGAUUCCACAUAUAAGUCAUACCAUACACUAGUUGUUUUUCCAAGUCUGGCUUAUUUCACUUAGCUUACUGUCCUCUAGGUUCAUCCAUGUUGUCACAAACGGCAGGAUUUCCUUCUUUUUCAUGGCUGAAUAAUAUUCCAUUGUAUAUAUCUAUCUCACAUUUUCUUUAUCCAUUCAUCUGUUGACAGACACUUAGGUUGUUUCCAUGUCUUGAUCAUUGUGAAUAAUGCUGCAAUGAACAUGGGAGUGCAGAUAUCUCUGAGACACUGAUUUUUCCUUCCUUCAGAUAUAUUCCCAGAAGCAGAAUUGCUGGAUCAAAUGGUAGAUCUAUUUUUAAUUUUUUGAGAACCCUCCCUACUGUUUUCUGUAGUGGCUGUAUCGAUAUACAUUCCCACCAACAGUGCACAAGGGUUUCUUUUUCUCUACAUUCUUGCCAACAUUUGUUCUCUUGUCUUCUUGACAAUAGCCAUCCUGACAAGUGUGAGGUGGUAUCUCAUUGUGGUUUUGAUUUGCAUUUCCCUAAUGGUUAGUGAUGUUAAGUACCUUUUCAUACAUCUGUUAACCAUUUGCAUGUCUUCUUUGGAAAAAUAUCUAUUACUCAGGUCUUCUGCCCAUUUUUAAAUCAAAUUAUUUGUGUUUUUGCUUUUGAGUUUUAUGAGUUUCUUAUAUAUUUUGAAUAUUAACCCCUUAUCAGAUAUAUGAUUUGCAAAUAUUUUCUCCCAUUCCGUAGAUGCCCUUUUCAUUUUGUUAGUCAUUUCUUUUGCGGGGCAGAAGCUUUUUAGUUUGAUGUAGUCCCACUUAUUUAUUUGUGCCUUUGUUGCCUUUGCUUUCAGUGUCAUAACCAAAAAGUCAUUGCCAAGACCAAUGUAAGGAGCUUUUUCCUUAUGAUUUAUUCUAAGAGUUUUAUGGUUUUAGGUCUUAUAUUUAAGUCUUUAAUCCAUUUUGAGUUAAUUUUUGUGAGUGGUGCAAGACGAGAGUCCAAUUUCAAUUUUUUGCAUGUGGAUAUCCAGUUUUUCCAACUCCAUUUAUUUGAAGAGACUAUCAUUUCCCCAUUGUGUGUUCUUGGCACACACAAUGUCAAAGAUUAGUUGACCAUAUAUGCAUGGAUUUAUUUCUGGGGUCUGAAACUUAUUCAAUUGGUCUAUGUGUCUGUUUUUAUGCCAGUACCAUACUGUUUCGCUUAUUAUAACACUGUAAUAUAGUUUGAAAUCAGGAAAUGUAAUGCCUCCAGCUUUGUUCUUCUUUCUCAAGAUUGCUUUGGCUAUUCAGGGUCUUCUGUGGUUCUAAUCACACUUUAGGAUUUUUUUUUUUCAAAUUUCUGUGAAAAAUACCAUUGGAAUUUUGAUAGGGAUUACACGGAAUCUGUAGAUGGCUUUGAGUAGUAUGGACUUUUUAACAACAUUAAUUCUGUAAAUCCACCAACAUAGGAUGUCUUUCCAUUUAUUAGUAUCUUCUUCAGUUGGUUUCAUCAAAGCUUUAUCGUUUUCAGUGUACAGGUUUUUCACCUCUUUGGUUAAAUUUAUUCCUAAGUAUUUUAUUGUUUUUGAUGCUAUUGUAAAAAUGGGAUGGCUUUCUUAAUUUCCCUUUCAGACGGUUCAUUGUACUGUGAAAUUGCAUGCUGAGAUUUGCAUAUAACUCACAGCCUAUCUUGUCUAUGUAGCAGCCUGUAAAACAUCUGAGCACAUCCCAUGUGUCAAGCAUGGAAAUGUCAUCCAUCCUUGUUGUGUGUUGCCAAGGGCAGGAAGUUGGGAACUGCUGGGCUAUAUAUUUUCAGGACCCUUUCCAGGGCUAAGCUUUGCAGCCCCAGUGCCUUUGCUCCUGUGGCUGACAGGACACCUUGUGAGAGGCUGCUGUCACCGCCACCUGAAAGGGCUCCUCCCUCAAAAAUCACAACAAAAAUCCAACCACCCAUCCUUACUUAGCAUCACAGAGACAGCACUUUCACUUUGGAACAGAAGGGUGUGAAUUGGGAGGGAAGCUACAUCUUCUGGACAAAUUAUUCUUCCAAGUUUAUAGAGAAACCCACUAAGGAAAUCAGCGAACUGAUUUGGUAAUUUUGUUAUUUGCUUUUUUUUGUUAAAAGAUCUCUGAUGUCUAAAAGCACGGUAGGACCUUUCUAUCUUUUUCUCUCUUCCUUCCUCUGCCCUCUGUCCCUCCCUUCAUAGAGCCAUUGUCAAGACCAGCGUCUGAGAGGUGAGAGGCGGGUGUGUGUGUGUGGCAUGAAGGUGGUGUCAUGCCCAGUGGCUGAAGAGGCAGCAGCAUUGGAGAGAGUGCAUAAAGGCAGCAGGCAGAGGAGGCAGCUGGCGGGGUUGGGAGAUUGGUUACAUUGAGCACAAAAGUCAAUAAAUUGAGAAAAAUGAGAGCCAGAUUUCUCACUGUCACACAACCAGAACCAGCCCAGGAUCUGCUGGCAAUUCUACCUGUACUUCCACCACUGUGAGAAGGCGCUGACCACUAAAAGGGGUGAUGUCGCCGACAUGCAAAUGGUACUGGCAUGUACACCAGUCCCUCUAUCCCGCAUCCUGAGUGACAGCCUGGGAUGCCCACAGGGCAGAAGGUGCAUUUCCUGGGAAGAUUAGAACUGUCCCCACCCCCCUCUCUCCUGUCCUCUGUCCUUUUCCCAGGAGAGUGAGGUGAGACCUAAGCACAUUGUGAUGUACACCCUGGGAUCCUGAACCAUCACUUAACCAAUAAUAAAAACUCCUUGGAAAAGUGAAAAAAGAAAGAUACCAAAGAAGACCAGAAUAAAUGGAGAGACAACACCAUGUUCAUGGAUUGGAAGACUAAAUAUAAGAAAGAUGUCAAUUAGCCCUAAAUUGAUAUUCAGGCUUACUGCAAUUCCUGUCAAAAUCUCAGCAAAAUUGUUUUGGCGAUGUAGAUGAUAGUAACGUAAAAUUUAUAGAAAAUGUUAAGGAAUAUAGAAUUGCUAUAAAAAUUCAGAAAAAGAAAAAUAAAGUGGGAAGAAUCAGCCUACCCAAUCUUAAGAUUUAUAUAGUCAAAACACGGUAUUGGUGAAGGGAUAGACAUAUAGAUCAAUGAAACAGAAUGGAGAACCCAGAAAGAGACACAAACAAAUGUGCCAACUAAAGUGCAAAAGCUAUUAGUCUUUUCAACAAAAGGUCUUAGAGCAUUUGGACACCCAUGGCGGGGGGGACCCUGAACCUAAACUUCAUAACUUACACAAAUAUUAAAAUCAAAAUGGAUCAUGAACUUGGACUUAAAUGUAAAACUAUAAAGCUUUUAGAAAAGAAAUAGGAAAGCAUCUUUGGCGUCUAGGGCCUGGCGAGGAAUUUUUAGACUUGACACCAAAAGCACAAUCUGUAAAAGGAAAAAUUGGUAAAUUGGACUUCAUCAAAAUUAAAAAGUUUUGCACUGUGAAGGACUCUGUUAAGAGAAUGAAAAGACAAGCUACAGAUCGGGAGAAAAUAUUUGCAAAUCAUAUAUCUAAUAAAGGAAUAGUAUCUAAACUAUUUAAAGAACUCAAAACUCAACAAUAAAAAACAAAUAAUCCAAUUAGAAAAUGGGCAAAAGAUAUGGCAAGACAUUUCACAGAGGAUGUACAGAUGGCCAAUAAGCACAUGAAAAGAUGUUCAAUAUCAUUAACCAUUUGGGAAAUGCAGAUAAAGACCACAAUGAAAUAUCACUACAUACUUAUCAGAAUGGCAAAAAUGAAAAAUAGUGACAACACCAAAAUGCUGGAGAGGAUAUGGAGAAGUUGGAUCACUUAUACAUUGACGGUGGGCAUGUAGAAUGGUAACCCACUCUGGAAAAGAAUUUGGGAGUUUCCUAAAAAAACUAAACCUGCAACUCUCAUACAAUCUGACUAUUGCAGUGUUGGGCAUUUAUCCCAGAGAAGCGAAAACAUACAUUCACACAAAAACAUGCACACGAAUAUCCAUAACAGCUUUAUUCCUAAUAGCCAGAAAAUGGAAGCAACACAGAUGUCCUUCAACAGGUGGUUAAACAAACGGAUACAUUCACACCAUAGAAUAUUACUUGGCAGUAAAGAGGAAUGAACUAUUGAUACACACAAUGGCUUGGAUGAAUCUCCAAAGAACUACGCUGAGUGGAGAAAGUCAAUCCCAAAAAGUUAUACUGCUUUAUCCUGUUUAUGUAACAUAUUUGAAAUAGCCAAAUUAUAGAAAUGGAGAACAGAUUAGUGGUUGUCAGGAGUUCAGCAGGAGGUGCGUGUGGGAAAGAAGUGACUGUGGCUAUAAAAGGGACGAAUGAGGGAUCCUUAUGGUGAUGGGAAUGCUCUGUGUCUUGACUGUCUCAGUGUUGAGAUCCUGGUUGAGAUACUAUACGAUAGUUUUGUAAGACAUUACCGGUGGGGAAACCUAGGUAAAUGGUAGAUAGGAUCUGUGCGUAUUAUUUCUUACAUUUAUAUGUGAAUCUAUAAUUAUCUCAAAAUAAAAAUUUUAAUUAAAAAAAUUAAAAAGCCAGGAAAGGGCAUCUGGGCAAGGUAGAAAAAGCCCCAGAUGAGGAGAUAGAAAUCUGGUCUGGUCCCAGCUCUGUCCCACACUCACUUUGUGGCUUUGAGUCAUGUAACAUCUGUGAGUCUCAAAGUCUCUCACAGGACAAAUGAGGGGACUGAAGUUGGCCCUACGUGAUGUAUUGGUUUGUUAGGGCUGCUGUAUCAAAGCACCACAGACCAGAUGGCUUAAGAAACAGAAAUUUACUGUCUUGCAGUUCUGGAGGCUAGAAGUCUAAAAUCAACGUGUUGGCAGAGUUGGUUCCUUCUGAGGGCUGUGAGGGAAGGAUCGGUUCCAGGCCUCUCUUGUUGGCUUGUAGAUGGCCGUCUUCUUGUGUCUUCACACCGUCUUCCCUCUACACGUGUCUUUGUGGCCGCACUUCUCCUUUUCAUCAAGACACCAGUCAGAUUGGAUUAGGGCCUACCCCAAUGACUUCACUGUAGCCUGGCCUCCUCUGUAAAGAUCCUACCUCCAAAUCAGGUCACUUUCUCAGUAACUGGGAGUUAAGACUUCAACAGAUGAAUUUUGAGGAUGGGGGACGCAAUUCAACCCAGAACGCGUGAUGUUGUAGAUGUGCUGUGGUAGUCAGGUAAAAUAACUACAUGAAAGCCCUCUGCAAAAGGUUCUCUGCAGACCCAAGGUUUAAAAAUCAUUGUAAGAAAAUGGCGUUCAGGCAGCAACUCGGCGGAUAAACACUGACACAG
Long non-coding RNA from Equus caballus (horse), 10734 nucleotides. The record is from Ensembl. Lineage: Eukaryota; Metazoa; Chordata; Mammalia; Perissodactyla; Equidae.